GACGAACGCUGGCGGCGUGCUUACACAUGCAAGUCGAACGGAAAGGCCCUGCUUUUGUGGGGUGCUCGAGUGGCGAACGGGUGAGUAACACGUGAGUAACCUGCCCUUGACUUUGGGAUAACUUCAGGAAACUGGGGCUAAUACCGGAUAGGAGCUCCUGCUGCAUGGUGGGGGUUGGAAAGUUUCGGCGGUUGGGGAUGGACUCGCGGCUUAUCAGCUUGUUGGUGGGGUAGUGGCUUACCAAGGCUUUGACGGGUAGCCGGCCUGAGAGGGUGACCGGCCACAUUGGGACUGAGAUACGGCCCAGACUCCUACGGGAGGCAGCAGUGGGGAAUAUUGCACAAUGGGCGGAAGCCUGAUGCAGCAACGCCGCGUGCGGGAUGACGGCCUUCGGGUUGUAAACCGCUUUCGCCUGUGACGAAGCGUGAGUGACGGUAAUGGGUAAAGAAGCACCGGCUAACUACGUGCCAGCAGCCGCGGUGAUACGUAGGGUGCGAGCGUUGUCCGGAUUUAUUGGGCGUAAAGGGCUCGUAGGUGGUUGAUCGCGUCGGAAGUGUAAUCUUGGGGCUUAACCCUGAGCGUGCUUUCGAUACGGGUUGACUUGAGGAAGGUAGGGGAGAAUGGAAUUCCUGGUGGAGCGGUGGAAUGCGCAGAUAUCAGGAGGAGCACCAGUGGCGAAGGCGGUUCUCUGGGCCUUUCCUGACGCUGAGGAGCGAAAGCGUGGGGAGCGAACAGGCUUAGAUACCCUGGUAGUCCACGCUGUAAACGGUGGGUACUAGGUGUGGGGUCCAUUCCACGGGUUCCGUGCCGUAGCUAACGCUUUAAGUACCCCGCCUGGGGAGUACGGCCGCAAGGCUAAAACUCAAAGGAAUUGACGGGGCCCCGCACAAGCGGCGGAGCAUGCGGAUUAAUUCGAUGCAACGCGUAGAACCUUACCUGGGUUUGACAUGGAUCGGGAGUGCUCAGAGAUGGGUGUGCCUCUUUUGGGGUCGGUUCACAGGUGGUGCAUGCCUGUCGUCAGCUCGUGUCGUGAGAUGUUGGGUUAAGUCCCGCAACGAGCGCAACCCUUGUUCACUGUUGCCAGCACGUUAUGGUGGGGACUCAGUGGAGACCGCCGGGGUCAACUCGGAGGAAGGUGGGGAUGACGUCAAGUCAUCAUGCCCCUUAUGUCCAGGGCUUCACGCAUGCUACAAUGGCUGGUACAGAGAGUGGCGAGCCUGUGAGGGUGAGCGAAUCUCGGAAAGCCGGUCUCAGUUCGGAUUGGGGUCUGCAACUCGACCUCAUGAAGUCGGAGUCGCUAGUAAUCGCAGAUCAGCAACGCUGCGGUGAAUACGUUCCCGGGGCU
This 1345-nucleotide ribosomal RNA is filed under the name uncultured bacterium. RNAcentral describes it as "partial 16S ribosomal RNA". It matches the Rfam family "Bacterial small subunit ribosomal RNA", at positions 28 to 1381 of the family's 1533-position model. The record is from RNAcentral.